This 77-nucleotide transfer RNA is filed under the name Candidatus Dadabacteria bacterium. RNAcentral's name for it is "tRNA-Pro". It matches the Rfam family "tRNA". From Rfam's summary of the family: Transfer RNA (tRNA) molecules are approximately 80 nucleotides in length. Their secondary structure includes four short double-helical elements and three loops (D, anti-codon, and T loops). Lineage: Bacteria; Pseudomonadati; Thermodesulfobacteriota; Candidatus Dadabacteria. The record is from RNAcentral. RNAcentral also lists the same sequence under 2 other names.
CGGGGUGUAGCGCAGCUUGGUAGCGCAUCGGCAUGGGGUGCCGAGGGUCGCCGGUUCGAUUCCGGCCACCCCGACCA